RNAcentral lists this ribosomal RNA (253 nucleotides) under uncultured bacterium. RNAcentral describes it as "partial 16S ribosomal RNA". It matches the Rfam family "Bacterial small subunit ribosomal RNA", at positions 524 to 776 of the family's 1533-position model. The record is from RNAcentral.
UACGUAGGGGGCAAACGUUGUCCGGAUUUACUGGGUGUAAAGGGUGCUCAGGCGGUCUUGUAAGUUAGAAGUGAAAUCCUAGGGCUCAACUCUGGAACUGCUUUUAAUACUGCAAGGCUUGAAUAUGGAAGAGGAGGGUGGAAUUUCUGGUGUAGCAGUGAAAUGCGUAGAUAUCAGAAAGAACACCAGUGGCGAAGGCGGCCCUCUGGUCCAUUAUUGACGCUAAAGCACGAAAGCGUGGGGAGCAAACAGG